Molecule: ribosomal RNA, 301 nt
Filed under: Streptococcus salivarius
Lineage: Bacteria; Bacillati; Bacillota; Bacilli; Lactobacillales; Streptococcaceae
Also listed under: 1 other name
Description: partial 23S ribosomal RNA
Rfam family: Bacterial large subunit ribosomal RNA
Source: RNAcentral
ACAGUUCGGUCCCUAUCCGUCGCGGGCGUAGGAAAUUUGAGAGGAUCUGCUCCUAGUACGAGAGGACCAGAGUGGACUUACCGCUGGUGUACCAGUUGUUCUGCCAAGAGCAUCGCUGGGUAGCUAUGUAGGGAAGGGAUAAACGCUGAAAGCAUCUAAGUGUGAAGCCCACCUCAAGAUGAGAUUUCCCAUGAUUUUAUAUCAGUAAGAGCCCUGAGAGAUGAUCAGGUUGAUAGGUUAGAAGUGGAAGUGUGGUGACACAUGUAGCGGACUAAUACUAAUAGCUCGAGGACUUAUCCAA